This 253-nucleotide ribosomal RNA is filed under the name uncultured bacterium. Its description in RNAcentral is "partial 16S ribosomal RNA". It matches the Rfam family "Bacterial small subunit ribosomal RNA", at positions 524 to 776 of the family's 1533-position model. The record is from RNAcentral.
UACGUAGGGGGCGAGCGUUGUCCGGAUUUAUUGGGCGUAAAGAGCGUGUAGGCGGCCAGGUAGGUCUGCUGUGAAAACUCGAGGCUCAACCUCGAGACGUCGGCGGAAACCAUCUGGCUAGAGUCCGGAAGAGGAGAGUGGAAUUCCUGGUGUAGCGGUGAAAUGCGCAGAUAUCAGGAAGAACACCUAUGGCGAAGGCAGCUCUCUGGGACGGUACUGACGCUGAGACGCGAAAGCGUGGGGAGCGAACAGG